UCGGGGACCCAUGGUUUAACUUAUCUAGUAGUGUAAAUUGAUUAAAAUUGACUUGAUUUUAUGUUUAAUUUAAUUUUGUUCUAAUAUAUGUUUUCUAGGGUUUUGUGCCUAACGUUUGCAGAAUGUAGUAUGGACAAGAAUUUGACUAUAUGGGCACUCAAUUCUACCAAAAAGCCUAUAAAUAGAAGAUCUCUCAAGAAGAAAAUCAAAAGGAUAGAAUAGGGGAUAGCCAAAGUGCACAAUGCUUUCAACGAAAUAUCCAUCCUAAAGAAAAAAAAGAGCUCAAAGAAAAGAAAACAUUUGAGCUAAAGAAAAGGGAAGGGAAGAGAAGAAAAAGAAAAGAGAAAGAGAUACUCUCAAGCUUAAGCGUUAAAUCUCAUACUUCUGUAAGAUUAUAGAGAAACACCUACUAGUGUUUAGACUCCAUUGUAUUGUAAUAAAAUCCUCUCGUAGAAAUAUUUAGUAUAAACUGCUUGUGAUGGAGGAGCCUGAGGAGGUGACCGAUUGAUGCAAGGCGAACACAAGUAAUGUUCCUCGAAGCUUCUCUGACUAGAGAAGACGUAGCGGAAUGAUGAUUUGAACACAAGAUUCGAGAGAGGAUGAACAAGAAGUGAGGUCGACCUCACAUAAACCCUAGAAAAGGGGGAACACUAUAUGAAUCGAUUAAAUGGUGGAAACAUGAGUUUAUUCGGUAAGAAGUGGAGAUUAAAUGGUAAGAAGAGAUUUAAUCAGUCAAAAAUGGGAGACAAGGAAUUAAGAGGCAGAAACCCUAGCGGAGGACGAUGUUUGAACGAUUUGUUUGGAUGAAAAUGAAGGACGGAGGAUGGAAAUAUUUUUAAUCGGUAGAAAAUGGCUUUCAAUUAGUGAAAAUGGAGGAAAAAUGGAAAAUUUGUGGUUGGAGACGAAGGAGCUCUCAAGAGCGAGAUAGGAAGUUUGUUUCUCGCUUGAGAUAAAUGAAGUGAAACUGAGGAGAUGCUCUGUGGAUGAUGCACAAACGCUGACGCAUGUGUUAUAUAUGCACUGACGAAGCAGAAACGCUGAAGAUGUGGCAAUGAUGCGGAUCUGUGAGGAUGUGGCAGUGGAGGAGGCAACGUGGAGAAAAGAGAAUUGUAUGGAAACACAAUGGAGAAAUGGAAAUGAAAUGAAAGUAAUGUGCUUUGAAGGUGGCUAGGGGCGGGUCUCUUGGACUCUCUAGUUUGACUUUCAAAAAGAGAAUAUUAUCUGGAGGUUCCUCGACAGAAGUCAAAUUCCCAUUAUGUUCAAAAGUAAUUGAUACAAUGGUGGAGAUGGGUAUUUAUAGUAAUCCAUGCUCCAAGAAAGGUAAAAUGCAUGUACAAUAAAACGUAAUAGAAAUACAAGAGGACAAUGAGGAAAGUUCAUG
This 1381-nucleotide long non-coding RNA is filed under the name Vigna radiata. RNAcentral's name for it is "long non-coding RNA (VRAD_LNC001181)". The record is from RNAcentral. Lineage: Eukaryota; Viridiplantae; Streptophyta; Magnoliopsida; Fabales; Fabaceae.